This is a long non-coding RNA of Cucurbita moschata (crookneck pumpkin), 1465 nucleotides long. RefSeq lists it as uncharacterized. The record is from RefSeq and is a predicted model, not a curated record. The transcript is spliced from 2 exons. Lineage: Eukaryota; Viridiplantae; Streptophyta; Magnoliopsida; Cucurbitales; Cucurbitaceae.
CCAUUAUUCCAACCAUCCAUUUUAUUUUAUCUGGAUCUCUAUCUGGUUGAACCUGCAACAAUUCAUAGACGAAUCAUAUGGAGAAACUACUGAGUUGCCAUGAUGGAUGCAAACACGACAAUACCCUGGCAUAAAUUUGGAAGGUUAGUCCAUACUAUUUUGCUUUCUUCUAUAUUUGUUCUAACAUGACUUGACUUUCUUUUAUGCUGGUGAACUUGUUCAUUGAUUGUAUGACAACAUUAAAGAGUUUUUUGCUUUAACCUUGAAAAAUAUUAGGUGCUAUUUCUCCAUUGGGACCCUCUAUUUUCUUAGACAAUCAUUCACAUUCUUCAUUCAACAGAGACUCUUUCUACUAAUUCAAUAGCUAAAUUUUGUUAAUAGAGAUUGACUUGCCACUGGUUGCAUCCGAUUCUUGCCAAUAGGAUAACGAUACUGAUUUGGCUUUCUCAUAGCAUUAGCUGUAAACCAUAAUAUGAACCCUGAUAAAAGAUCCAACAGGGAAUCUAGUGUUGAUGCUAUAACUGCUAGUGAUCUGCUCUCAACUGAAGCAUACACUUUUGCGAUGAAGAUCAACAUGUUGGCUAUGUUGGAUGCAUAUAUUGCCAUUCUCUCACUGUUGGCCUCUUGCUUCUUUUCUUCCUGGUAUAUUAGAAACUAGGUGAAUGUGUCUUAUCUGAGAGAAUAAGAAGGUGCGAGUUUAGAGAGAGAAAAAAGAGAAAUACCUCAGUUAAGGUUCCUGGCACGACGCCCAGUUCAUUGUAGGAGUCAACUUCAUUGAAUCCUUUGAGAAGACUUUCUUGCCUUUCAUAGUACUUAGCAACAUUUCUUUGUCUCUCUAGCAUCAAGAUAAAAACGCUCAUUAGUUUCACCUCCAAAACUCAAGUUUUUCUGUUGAAGGCACUGAAGAAAUGGUAAGAGAAUGCAUUUGAAAAGCUUACUCCAUGACUUCCAGUAAUAAACAAUGCCAUGAUGAGAUCUCUUGUUGGUUGCAGGCAAAUGGAACUCAUCCAUAUUAAGUCGCCACGAGGGCACCUUUGACACCAUUCCAUCUCUUCCAGCAGCCACACCCUCUGGGGACAAAAGUUCUGUUCUGAAUGAAUCUGUUCUGGGAUUAUCUGCCAUUUUUAUGCUGACGAACCCAACUGAGAAUCCGGUUAUAAGGAACCGAUUUUCUUUUACCUAAACCAGAAAGAUCAUUAUAAAGAGAAAGACGAUGGUGCAGUGUUGCUGACUAAGUUGGAUGGAGGAUUAAUAUAAUAUAGAAGAGUGGAUUCAGUUAACAAUGGCAUGGAAAGGGUUGGAUUAUUUUAGGAAAGGGAUGAUUUGACAUGCAUUCUGAAUUCUGAGUGUUGUAGAAAGUUAGAGGUUUGCUUUAAAUAAUUGAAAUACCUGGUUUUGGGAAUUGCUUUGUAGGACCUUACGUGUUUUCCUAUAAGUUUAACAUAAUCGUCGACGCUUUUCUCAA